AUACGGAGGGGGCUAGCGUUGUUCGGAAUUACUGGGCGUAAAGCGCGCGUAGGUGGAGCUUUAAGUCGGAUGUGAAAGCCCUGGGCUUAACCUGGGAAUUGCAUUCGAUACUGGGACUCUAGAGUAUAGUAGAGGGAAGUGGAAUUUCAGGUGUAGCGGUGAAAUGCGUAGAUAUCUGAAGGACCAUCAGUGGCGAAAGCGGCUUCCUGGACUAAUACUGACACUGAGGUGCGAAAGCGUGGGGAGCAAACAGGAUUAGAAACCCCAGUAGUCC
Molecule: ribosomal RNA, 274 nt
Filed under: uncultured bacterium
Lineage: Bacteria
Description: partial 16S ribosomal RNA
Rfam family: Bacterial small subunit ribosomal RNA
Source: RNAcentral